UAAUACAGAGGGAGCAAGCGUUGUUCGGAUUUACUGGGCGUAAAGGGCGCGCAGGCGGGUCGAUCAGUCGGACGUGAAAACUACCGGCUCAACCGGUAGACUGCGUUCGAAACUGUCGACCUUGAGUACAGGAGAGGAGAGCGGAAUCGACAGUGUAGCGGUGAAAUGCGUAGAUAUUGUCGAGAACACCGGUGGCGAAGGCGGCUCUCUGGCCUGAUACUGACGCUGAGGCGCGAAAGCUAGGGGAGCAAACAGGAUUAGAUACCCUGGUAGUCCUAGCCGUAAACGAUGGGCACUAGGUGUUGGAGGUAUUGACCCCUUCAGUGCCGUAGCUAACGCAUUAAGUGCCCCGCCUGGGGAGUACGGUCGCAAGGCUG
RNAcentral lists this ribosomal RNA (377 nucleotides) under uncultured bacterium. Its description in RNAcentral is "bacterial SSU rRNA". It matches the Rfam family "Bacterial small subunit ribosomal RNA", at positions 521 to 896 of the family's 1533-position model. The record is from RNAcentral.